GGAAGAGCGGAGGAAGGGGCGGCGAGGGGGCGGGCCGGCGGCGGCCAGGGAGGUCGGAGUGCGCGGGGCUCGGCACCCCCUCGGCCCGCGCUGCGCCAGCACCACCUGCGGAGCUGCGGUGCCCACGCCGUGCCGCGACCCCGCCGCCCCUGCUCCCUCCACACGCGGGCAAACAAAACAAGUUGCCGGUCGCUGCCGCCGGAGGGGGCCGGGCGGGUCACUCACCCUCAUCCUGCUCAGCGGGCUUGGGUCGUCCGGCCGCGGGGUCAGGGAAGACCAGAGGACCACUAGCCCCAGGAAGCUUCCCACCACCAGCAAACUGCGUGGUGAAUUUGUAACCGAAAGGCCCAGGUGAGAUGUGCAAAUAUCACUGGAUUGGAGGAGCUCACUUGGAAAGCCAGUAUUCCUCCUGAGCUAAUGAAAAGAAAGGCUGUCGUCUUAUGCCAAAAGCAAUACCAACCUUGUUCACGGGCUGGUCAUCAAGACCAUGGCUUCCAUCGUAGGCAGUCACACUCUUUC
Molecule: long non-coding RNA, 519 nt
Filed under: Homo sapiens (human)
Lineage: Eukaryota; Metazoa; Chordata; Mammalia; Primates; Hominidae
Description: non-protein coding lnc-HMGB2-3:5
Source: RNAcentral